GACGAACGCUGGCGGCGUGCUUAACACAUGCAAGUCGAACGAAGAGCGACGGAAGCUUGCUUCUAUCAAUCUUAGUGGCGAACGGGUGAGUAACGCGUAAUCAACCUGCCCUUCAGAGGGGGACAACAGUUGGAAACGACUGCUAAUACCGCAUACGAUCUAAUCUCGGCAUCGAGGAUAGAUGAAAGGUGGCCUCUACAUGUAAGCUAUCACUGAAGGAGGGGAUUGCGUCUGAUUAGCUAGUUGGAGGGGUAACGGCCCACCAAGGCGAUGAUCAGUAGCCGGUCUGAGAGGAUGAACGGCCACAUUGGGACUGAGACACGGCCCAGACUCCUACGGGAGGCAGCAGUGGGGAAUCUUCCGCAAUGGACGAAAGUCUGACGGAGCAACGCCGCGUGAGUGAUGACGGCCUUCGGGUUGUAAAGCUCUGUUAAUCGGGACGAAAGGCCUUCUUGCGAAUAGUGAGAAGGAUUGAC
Molecule: ribosomal RNA, 476 nt
Filed under: Veillonella parvula
Lineage: Bacteria; Bacillati; Bacillota; Negativicutes; Veillonellales; Veillonellaceae
Description: bacterial SSU rRNA
Rfam family: Bacterial small subunit ribosomal RNA
Source: RNAcentral